AUGUGGAGCCGUAGCGAAAGCGAGUCUGAAUAGGGCGUUGAGUAUUUGGUCGUAGACCCGAAACCAGGUGAUCUACCCAUGGUCAGGUUGAAGUUCAGGUAACACUGAAUGGAGGACCGAACCGACUUACGUUGAAAAGUGAGCGGAUGAACUGUGGGUAGCGGAGAAAUUCCAAUCGAACUUGGAGAUAGCUGGUUCUCUCCGAAAUAGCUUUAGGGCUAGCCUCAAGUGAUGAUUAUUGGAGGUAGAGCACUGUUUGGACGAGGGGCCCCUCUCGGGUUACCGAAUUCAGACAAACUCCGAAUGCCAAUUAAUUUAACUUGGGAGUCAGAACAUGGGUGAUAAGGUCCGUGUUCGAAAGGGAAACAGCCCAGACCACCAGCUAAGGUCCCAAAAUAUAUGUUAAGUGGAAAAGGAUGUGGCGUUGCCCAGACAACUAGGAUGUUGGCUUAGAAGCAGCCAUCAUUUAAAGAGUGCGUAAUAGCUCACUAGUCGAGUGACACUGCGCCGAAAAUGUACCGGGGCUAAACAUAUUACCGAAGCUGUGGAUUGUCCGUAGGACAAUGGUAGGAGAGCGUUCUAAGGGCGUUGAAGCAUGAUCGCAAGGACAUGUGGAGCGCUUAGAAGUGAGAAUGCCGGUGUGAGUAGCGAAAGACGGGUGAGAAUCCCGUCCACCGAUUGACUAAGGUUUCCAGAGGAAGGCUCGUCCGCUCUGGGUUAGUCGGGUCCUAAGCUGAGGCCGACAGGCGUAGGCGAUGGAUAACAGGUUGAUAUUCCUGUACCACCUAGCAUCGUUUUAAUCGAUGGGGGGACGCAGUAGGAUAGGCGAAGCGUACGAUUGGAUUGUACGUCUAAGCAGUGAGAUUGAGUGUUAGGCAAAUCCGGCACUCUUAAGAUUGAGCUGUGAUGGGGAGAGGAAAUUGUUUCCUCGAGUCGUUGAUUUCACACUGCCGAGAAAAGCCUCUAGAUAGAUAAUAGGUGCCCGUACCGCAAACCGACACAGGUAGUCAAGAUGAGAAUUCUAAGGUGAGCGAGCGAACUCUCGUUAAGGAACUCGGCAAAAUGACCCCGUAACUUCGGGAGAAGGGGUGCUCUUUAGGGUGCAAGCCCAGAAGAGCCGCAGUGAAUAGGCCCAAGCGACUGUUUAUCAAAAACACAGGUCUCUGCUAAACCGUAAGGUGAUGUAUAGGGGCUGACGCCUGCCCGGUGCUGGAAGGUUAAGAGGAGU
RNAcentral lists this ribosomal RNA (1228 nucleotides) under Staphylococcus haemolyticus. RNAcentral describes it as "partial 23S ribosomal RNA". It matches the Rfam family "Bacterial large subunit ribosomal RNA", at positions 658 to 1887 of the family's 2925-position model. The record is from RNAcentral. Lineage: Bacteria; Bacillati; Bacillota; Bacilli; Caryophanales; Staphylococcaceae.